Molecule: unclassified non-coding RNA, 96 nt
Organism: Microcebus murinus (gray mouse lemur)
Lineage: Eukaryota; Metazoa; Chordata; Mammalia; Primates; Cheirogaleidae
Rfam family: Y RNA
About the family: Y RNAs are components of the Ro ribonucleoprotein particle (Ro RNP), in association with Ro60 and La proteins. The Y RNAs and Ro60 and La proteins are well conserved, but the function of the Ro RNP is not known.
Source: Ensembl
GGCUGGUCUGAUGCUAGUGGGUUAUCAGAACCUAUUAACAGUAGUGUCACUAACAUUGGUAUGCAAUCUCCCACUGCUAAAUUUGACUGGCUUUAA